UACGAAGGGGGCGAGCGUUGUUCGGAUUUACUGAACGUAUAGGGCGCGCAAGCGGUUCUGUUUGUCGAGUGUGAAAGCCCCGGGCUCAACCUGGGAACUGCGCUCGAAACGGCGGAACUAGAGUUCGGGAGAGGAGAGUGGAAUUCCCAGUGUAGAGGUGAAAUUCGUAGAUAUUGGGAAGAACACCGGUGACAAAAACGGCUCUCUGGACCGAUACUGACGCUGAGGCGCGAAAGCGUGGGGAGCAAACAGG
RNAcentral lists this ribosomal RNA (253 nucleotides) under uncultured bacterium. RNAcentral describes it as "partial 16S ribosomal RNA". It matches the Rfam family "Bacterial small subunit ribosomal RNA", at positions 524 to 776 of the family's 1533-position model. The record is from RNAcentral.